RNAcentral lists this long non-coding RNA (254 nucleotides) under Lathyrus oleraceus (garden pea). Its description in RNAcentral is "Pisum sativum (pea) long non-coding RNA (PSAT_LNC014434)". Lineage: Eukaryota; Viridiplantae; Streptophyta; Magnoliopsida; Fabales; Fabaceae. The record is from RNAcentral.
UUUUCAAAUUGCAGCAUCAAACAGGACCAAUCCAAUACUGAACACAAAAAAAGUGUUUUGGCAGAAACCUCUUUUGAUCCCCAGGUACCAAAUCAAAACCCUAUCUGCAGAAGAUAAAUAGGCAGAAGAAAUCAGUAAGAGGCGAUUCGAAAACGAAGUGGAGGCGGAAAGGAAUUGGAAAAAACCCUAAAGCUUGGAGGCGGAAAAGCAGAAAACUCGAAUCUUAAAAUCAAAAAACAAACCGAUUGAAGGAG